CCACUGAGAAUUUGCCUAUUCUAAAUAUGUCAUUCAAAUUUUAUAUGUAGUACAGAUAUGCCACUGCCGUUGGUUGAUCGCUAGUCGUCCCGUCCACCGGUCCUGGUCCACUAUCGUCGUGAACCGAGGCUCCAGCCACUGCACCAACCGCGUUGCGGCGGCCUCGUCCCCGGCCGCAUCGUAUAGCGAGAGCCACUGCAGAUUCCAUAUCUGAAUCC
RNAcentral lists this long non-coding RNA (218 nucleotides) under Brachypodium distachyon (stiff brome). RNAcentral describes it as "long non-coding RNA (BDIS_LNC001088)". Lineage: Eukaryota; Viridiplantae; Streptophyta; Magnoliopsida; Poales; Poaceae. The record is from RNAcentral.